AAAAGUUCUCCAAGUUCUGUUACUUGAUCAUCUGCGCCGGUCACAGUCCUACUUUCUCUGUCUUCAAUAAAGUCCCACAGACGAACAGAAUUGAAGAACUGCAAUAGGAGAAAAUGUGAUUUAGCUUGGCACAGUGUGUGACAACCUUCCAGGCAGCUACGUCCAAUAGAAGGCACGUGUAUCCAGUUUUGGCAAGUGAACUGAAAUAACCUCAACAUUUCAGAGCACGAGUUCAAGUAACUUCUGAUCUAUAAUUACAACAGACUCUUUGAUAGCAGUCACAAAGUUCAGCUAAUUAAGAAUGGUGUGCUGUUACGAGAGAUUAAGCGUUACCUGUAGAACGGAUUGCAAUUACAAAACAUUUAAAAAUA
This is a long non-coding RNA of Numida meleagris (helmeted guineafowl), 371 nucleotides long. RefSeq lists it as uncharacterized. The record is from RefSeq and is a predicted model, not a curated record. The transcript is spliced from 2 exons. NCBI's taxonomy places the organism in Eukaryota, Metazoa, Chordata, Aves, Galliformes, Numididae.